UUCAGAAAUUGCGCUCAAGAUUUAUGUCUAAACUUUUCGCUCAAAACUCAAAAAAAUUCGCAAAUUUUUUUCAAUUCCCUCCAUCAUCAAUCUUCCGCAUUAUGAAAAUUAGGUCAAUAUUAGUUUUCUCUUCAUCCUCUAUAGGUGACACAAAAAACUCCAACCUCAAGUGAAGCGUGGGAUUCUUGGGAGAGGGUGUGAAUAAUUCGCGCAAAUAUUGAUCGGUUUCUCAUCUGAUUUCAGGAAACCCCAUUUCAAGAACUGUUUCAUCACAAGUUCAAGGUAUUAAGAGAAAACUAAUUCGUCUACAGCUCCAGGAACAACCCAGCGAAGAGCAGAUCGCCGAGUUAAGGAAGCAUCAAUGCAUCUUAUUCGACACAGAUGGCGAUGGAUCUGAUUUAUUCUAGGAGCAGAAGGCAUGAAAUCCAGGAUCUGAUUUCUUCUGAUGCAAUUUCCAAAUUACUCACUGAAGCAUCACUUUCUCAUACAAUACAGAUAACUCUUUGUUUGGCAAACGGUGAAGCCGGACUUAUUUGGGGAAGCACAUGACGUUAUCGACUUAUACUAUUUUAGUUGGUUCGUUGUUACAUAGUAGUAGUUAAUUAGCUAUUAAUCUUGUCAUCUGCUGAUUUUUAGAUAAUGUUUUGUUAAGUUCUUAAGACUAUUAAACAAUUAUAUAUCACCUAUGUAAUGACUUACUCUAUAUGAGUUAUUUAUUUAUAAUAUUAUUUUUAUCUUAUAAUUA
Spinacia oleracea (spinach) is the source of this 745-nucleotide long non-coding RNA. RefSeq lists it as uncharacterized. The record is from RefSeq and is a predicted model, not a curated record. Lineage: Eukaryota; Viridiplantae; Streptophyta; Magnoliopsida; Caryophyllales; Amaranthaceae. The transcript has 5 exons.